This 253-nucleotide ribosomal RNA is filed under the name uncultured bacterium. RNAcentral describes it as "partial 16S ribosomal RNA". It matches the Rfam family "Bacterial small subunit ribosomal RNA", at positions 524 to 776 of the family's 1533-position model. The record is from RNAcentral.
UACGUAGGGGCCGAGCGUUGUCCGGAGUUACUGGGCGUAAAGAGCGCGCAGGCGGUCGUUCAAGUCGCGUGUGAAAGCCCCCGGCUCAACUGGGGAGGGUCACGCGAUACUGAUCGACUCGAAGGCAGGAGAGGGAAGUGGAAUUCCCGGUGUAGUGGUGAAAUGCGUAGAUAUCGGGAGGAACACCAGUGGCGAAGGCGACUUCCUGGCCUGUUCUUGACGCUGAGGCGCGAAAGCUAGGGGAGCAAACGGG